Molecule: ribosomal RNA, 292 nt
Filed under: uncultured bacterium
Lineage: Bacteria
Description: partial 16S ribosomal RNA
Rfam family: Bacterial small subunit ribosomal RNA
Source: RNAcentral
GUGCCAGCCGCCGCGGUAAUACGGAGGGUGCGAGCGUUGUUCGGAAUCACUGGGCGUAAAGCGCGUGUAGGCGGCUUCUUAAGUCCGAUGUGAAAGCCCGGGGCUCACCCCCGGAAGUGCAUUGGAUACUGGGAAGCUGGAGUACCGGAGAGGAGGGUGGAAUUCCUGGUGUAGCGGUGAAAUGCGUAGAUAUCAGGAGGAACACCUGUGGCGAAGGCGGCCCUCUGGACGGAUACUGACGCUGAGACGCGAAAGCGUGGGGAGCAAACAGGAUUAGAAACCCCUGUAGUCC